RNAcentral lists this ribosomal RNA (1746 nucleotides) under seawater metagenome. Its description in RNAcentral is "bacterial LSU rRNA". It matches the Rfam family "Bacterial large subunit ribosomal RNA", at positions 1101 to 2925 of the family's 2925-position model. The record is from RNAcentral.
UUGGCUUAGAAGCAGCCAUCUUUUAAAGAUAGCGUAACAGCUCACUGGUCUAAUUUAAGUUAUCCUGCGGCGAAGAUGUACCGGGGCUCAAGCCAUGAGCCGAAGCUAGGGAUGCAAUUUAUUGCAUGGUAGCGGAGCGUUCUGUGAUAUAGAACGCUGCGUCUUUAGUAUCUUAGGAUAUUGUGGACGCAAUGUUCUGACUGUGAAGCCGGCGCGUAAGCGAUCCGGUGGAGUGAUCAGAAGUGAGAAUGUUGACAUGAGUAGCGACAAACAGGGUGAGAGACCCUGUCGCCGAAAGUCCAAGGGUUCCUGCUUAAAGCUAAUCUGAGCAGGGUAAGCCGACCCCUAAGGCGAGGCCGAAAGGCGUAGUCGAUGGGAACCAGUUUAAUAUUACUGGGCCAGGAGAUGGUGACGGAUCGAAAGCGUAGUGACUCCUUAUCGGAUUGAAGUUGCUGCCGGACGGUUCCUGGAAAUAGCCCUCCAUUAGAUCGUACCCUAAACCAACACAGGUGGACUGGUAGAGAAUACCAAGGCGCUUGAGAGAACUACAUUGAAGGAACUCGGCAAAAUGCCUCCGUAAGUUCGCGAGAAGGAGGCCCCAUCAGAAGGCAACUUUUGGUGGGGGGCACAGACCAGGGGGUGGCGACUGUUUACUAAAAACACAGGGCUCUGCGAAGUCGUAAGACGACGUAUAGGGUCUGACGCCUGCCCGGUGCCUGAAGGUUAAAAGGAGGGGUGAGAGCUCCGAAUUGAAGCCCAGGUAAACGGCGGCCGUAACUAUAACGGUCCUAAGGUAGCGAAAUUCCUUGUCGGGUAAGUUCCGACCUGCACGAAUGGCGUAACGACUUCCCCGCUGUCUCCAACAUAGACUCAGUGAAAUUGAAUUGCCUGUCAAGAUGCAGGCUUCCCGCGGUUAGACGGAAAGACCCCGUGCACCUUUACUACAACUUUACACUGAUAACAGGCACAAUAUGUGCAGAAUAGGUGGUAGGCUUUGAAGCAGGGACGCCAGUCCUUGUGGAGCCUCCUUUGAGAUACCACCCUUAUUUUUCUUGUUAUCUAACUGCGGUCCGUUAUCCGGAUCCAGGACCCUGUAUGGUGGGUAGUUUGACUGGGGCGGUCGCCUCCUAAAGCGUAACGGAGGCGCGCGAAGGUUGGCUCAGAGCGGUCGGAAAUCGCUCGUUGAGUGCAAUGGCAGAAGCCAGCCUGACUGCGAGACUGACAAGUCGAGCAGAGUCGAAAGACGGCCAUAGUGAUCCGGUGGUCCCGAGUGGAAGGGCCAUCGCUCAACGGAUAAAAGGUACGCCGGGGAUAACAGGCUGAUACCGCCCAAGAGUUCAUAUCGACGGCGGUGUUUGGCACCUCGAUGUCGGCUCAUCACAUCCUGGGGCUGGAGCAGGUCCCAAGGGUUUGGCUGUUCGCCAAUUAAAGUGGUACGUGAGCUGGGUUUAGAACGUCGUGAGACAGUUCGGUCCCUAUCUGCCGUGGGUGUAGGAUACUUGAGAGGAGUUGCCCCUAGUACGAGAGGACCGGGGUGAACGAUCCACUGGUGGACCAGUUGUCGACUACGGCAGUGCUGGGUAGCUAUGAUCGGACAGGAUAACCGCUGAAAGCAUCUAAGCGGGAAGCCCCCCUCAAAACAAGGUAUCCCUGAGGACCGAGGUAGACCACCUCGUCGAUAGGCCAGAGGUGUAAGCGUGGUAACACGUUCAGCUGACUGGUACUAAUGGUCCGAUAGGCUUGAUU